GCGGAGAAGGAAGGUGUCUUUCCGGUUUCACCUUUUUGGUCCCUCUUACGUUCAGAAGCCCUACGAUCUGCGCAGGUCUUUGGAGCUCUUAAGAGGGACUCAGAGCAACUUUCGAGCAACUUGAAAUGGACUCAUUGGUCUUUGAGGAUGUGGUUGUGAAUUUUACCCAGGAGGAGUGGGUUUUACUGGAUUCCUCACAGAAGAAACUCUACAGAGACGUGAUGUUGGAAAAUAUCAGGAAUCUGGCAUCAGUAGCAGAAAAACAAGAUCACGACAUUGAAAGUUUGGAGAAAAACCAUGGGAAAAAAUUAAGGUGGAUUCUUUACCACUGAGCCACCAGGGAAGCCCUCAAUAUAACUUUUUAAUAGAAAGGUUGGAGAUCUGUUGAAGAGCGUUCAGUAUAUUCAACUUGUA
This is a long non-coding RNA of Cervus elaphus (red deer), 414 nucleotides long. RefSeq lists it as uncharacterized. The transcript is spliced from 4 exons. The record is from RefSeq and is a predicted model, not a curated record. NCBI's taxonomy places the organism in Eukaryota, Metazoa, Chordata, Mammalia, Artiodactyla, Cervidae.